Molecule: ribosomal RNA, 237 nt
Filed under: uncultured bacterium
Lineage: Bacteria
Description: partial 16S ribosomal RNA
Rfam family: Bacterial small subunit ribosomal RNA
Source: RNAcentral
GACGAACGCUGGCGGCGUGCUUAACACAUGCAAGUCGAGCGGUAAGGCCCUUUCGGGGGUGCACGAGCGGCGAACGGGUGAGUAACACGUGGGUGACCUGCCCUCAGCUCUGGGAUAAGCCUGGGAAACCGGGGUCUAAUACCGGAUAUGACUCCAUGACGCAUGUUGUGGGGUGGAAAGCCUUGUGCGGCUGAGGAUGGGCCCGCGGCCUAUCAGCUUGUUGGUGGGGGGAUGGCC